This 371-nucleotide ribosomal RNA is filed under the name uncultured organism. RNAcentral's name for it is "bacterial SSU rRNA". It matches the Rfam family "Bacterial small subunit ribosomal RNA", at positions 526 to 896 of the family's 1533-position model. The record is from RNAcentral.
CGUAGGGUGCAAGCGUUAAUCGGAAUUACUGGGCGUAAAGCGUGCGCAGGCGGUCUUGCAAGACAGAUGUGAAAUCCCCGGGCUCAACCUGGGAACUGCAUUUGUGACUGCAAGGCUAGAGUGCGGCAGAGGGGGAUGGAAUUCCGCGUGUAGCAGUGAAAUGCGUAGAUAUGCGGAGGAACACCGAUGGCGAAGGCAAUCCCCUGGGCCUGCACUGACGCUCAUGCACGAAAGCGUGGGGAGCAAAACAGGAUUAGAUACCCUGGUAGUCCACGCCCUAAACGAUGUCAACUGGUUGUUGGGAAGGUUCCUUCUCAGUAACGUAGCUAACGCGUGAAGUUGACCGCCUGGGGAGUACGGCCGCAAGGUUG